AUUAUGGAGAGUUUGAUCCUGGCUCAGGAUGAACGCUGGCGGCGUGCCUAAUACAUGCAAGUCGAGCGAACGGACGAGAGUGCUUGCACUCUCUGAUGUUAGCGGCGGACGGGUGAGUAACACGUGGGUA
This 130-nucleotide ribosomal RNA is filed under the name Macrococcoides caseolyticum. Its description in RNAcentral is "Macrococcus caseolyticus partial 16S ribosomal RNA". It matches the Rfam family "Bacterial small subunit ribosomal RNA", at positions 1 to 123 of the family's 1533-position model. Lineage: Bacteria; Bacillati; Bacillota; Bacilli; Caryophanales; Staphylococcaceae. The record is from RNAcentral.